UGGGGAAUCUUGCACAAUGGGGGAAACCCUGAUGCAGCGACGCCGCGUGAGCGAUGAAGCCCUUCGGGGUGUAAAGCUCUUUCGGCAGGGACGAUAAUGACGGUACCUGCAGAAGCAGCUGCGGCUAACUACGUGCCAGCAGCCGCGGUAAUACGUAGGCAGCGAGCGUUGUUCGGAGUUACUGGGCGUAAAGGGUGUGUAGGCGGUUCUCUAAGUUUGGUGUGAAAUCUCCCGGCUCAACUGGGAGGGUGCGCCGAAAACUGGAGGGCUAGAGUGCGGGAAGGGAGAGUAGAAUUCCUGGUGUAGCGGUGAAAUGCGUAGAUAUCAGGAGGAAUACCGGUGGUGUAGACGGCUCUCCGGACCGCGACUGACGCUGAGACACGAAAGCGUGGGUAGCAAACAGGAUUAGAUACCCUGGUAGUCCACGCCCUAAACGAUGCAUAUCUGGUGUAGGUCAUUCAGUUGAUCUGUGCCGGAGCUAAC
Molecule: ribosomal RNA, 483 nt
Filed under: uncultured bacterium
Lineage: Bacteria
Description: bacterial SSU rRNA
Rfam family: Bacterial small subunit ribosomal RNA
Source: RNAcentral